UACGGAGGAUGCAAGCGUUAUCCGGAAUGAUUGGGCGUAAAGCGUCCGCAGGUGGCAAUGUAAGUCUGCUGUCAAAGCGUCUGGCUCAACCAGAUAAAGGCAGUGGAAACUACAUAGCUAGAGUAAGGUAGGGGUAGAGGGAAUUCCUGGUGUAGCGGUGAAAUGCGUAGAGAUCAGGAAGAACAUCGGUGGCGAAAGCGCUCUACUGGACGGUAUCUGACACUGAGGGACGAAAGCUAGGGGAGCGAAUGGG
This 253-nucleotide ribosomal RNA is filed under the name uncultured bacterium. RNAcentral's name for it is "partial 16S ribosomal RNA". It matches the Rfam family "Bacterial small subunit ribosomal RNA", at positions 524 to 776 of the family's 1533-position model. The record is from RNAcentral.